Molecule: ribosomal RNA, 252 nt
Filed under: uncultured bacterium
Lineage: Bacteria
Description: partial 16S ribosomal RNA
Rfam family: Bacterial small subunit ribosomal RNA
Source: RNAcentral
UACGUAGGUCCCGAGCGUUGUCCGGAUUUAUUGGGCGUAAAGCGAGCGCAGGUGGUUUAUUAAGUCUGGUGUAAGAGGCAGUGGCUCAACCAUUGUAUGCAUUGGAAACUGGUAGACUUGAGUGCAGGAGAGGAGAGUGGAAUUCCAUGUGUAGCGGUGAAAUGCGUAGAUAUAUGGAGGAACACCGGUGGCGAAGGCGGCUUACUGGACCGUAACUGACGUUGAGGCUCGAAAGCGUGGGGAGCAAACAGG